AGUUUGAUCCUGGCUCAGAUUGAACGCUGGCGGCAUGCUUUACACAUGCAAGUCGAACGGCAGCGCGGGGCAACCUGGCGGCGAGUGGCGAACGGGUGAGUAAUAUAUCGGAACGUACCCAAGAGUGGGGGAUAACGUAGCGAAAGUUACGCUAAUACCGCAUACGAUCUAAGGAUGAAAGCAGGGGAUCUUCGGACCUUGUGCUCCUGGAGCGGCCGAUAUCUGAUUAGCUAGUUGGUGAGGUAAAGGCUCACCAAGGCCACGAUCAGUAGCUGGUCUGAGAGGACGACCAGCCACACUGGAACUGAGACACGGUCCAGACUCCUACGGGAGGCAGCAGUGGGGAAUUUUGGACAAUGGGCGAAAGCCUGAUCCAGCAAUGCCGCGUGAGUGAAGAAGGCCUUCGGGUUGUAAAGCUCUUUUGUCAGGGAAGAAACGGUAAAGGCUAAUAUCCUUCGCUAAUGACGGUACCUGAAGAAUAAGCACCGGCUAACUACGUG
RNAcentral lists this ribosomal RNA (500 nucleotides) under uncultured Massilia sp. Its description in RNAcentral is "bacterial SSU rRNA". It matches the Rfam family "Bacterial small subunit ribosomal RNA", at positions 10 to 507 of the family's 1533-position model. Lineage: Bacteria; Pseudomonadati; Pseudomonadota; Betaproteobacteria; Burkholderiales; Oxalobacteraceae. The record is from RNAcentral.